This 362-nucleotide ribosomal RNA is filed under the name uncultured bacterium. RNAcentral's name for it is "partial 16S ribosomal RNA". It matches the Rfam family "Bacterial small subunit ribosomal RNA", at positions 355 to 709 of the family's 1533-position model. The record is from RNAcentral.
UGGGGAAUAUUGCACAAUGGGCGCAAGCCUGAUGCAGCCAUGCCGCGUGUAUGAAGAAGGCCUUCGGGUUGUAAAGUACUUUCAGCGGGGAGGAAGGUGUUGAGGUUAAUAACCUCAGCAAUUGACGUUACCCGCAGAAGAAGCACCGGCUAACUCCGUGCCAGCAGCCGCGGUAAUACGGAGGGUGCAAGCGUUAAUCGGAAUUACUGGGCGUAAAGCGCACGCAGGCGGUCUGUCAAGUCGGAUGGGAAAUCCCCGGGCUCAACCUGGGAACUGCAUUCGAAACUGGGAGGCUAGAGUCUUGUAGAGGGGGGUAGAAUUCCAGGUGUAGCGGUGAAAUGCGUAGAGAUCUGGAGGAAUAC